UUUAGUUGGGCACUCUAAGUGAGACUGCCGGUGACAAACCGGAGGAAAGGUGGGGAUGACGUCAAGUCCUCAUGGCCCUUAUGGGUAGGGCUUCACACGUCAUACAAUGGUCGGUACAGAGGGUUGCCAAGCCGCGAGGUGGAGCCAAUCCCUUAAAGCCGAUCGUAGUCCGGAUCGUAGUCUGCAACUCGACUACGUGAAGUCGGAAUCGCUAGUAAUCGCAGAUCAGCAUGCUGCGGUGAAUACGUUCCCGGGUCUU
This 259-nucleotide ribosomal RNA is filed under the name uncultured Thauera sp. RNAcentral's name for it is "partial 16S ribosomal RNA". It matches the Rfam family "Bacterial small subunit ribosomal RNA", at positions 1126 to 1382 of the family's 1533-position model. Lineage: Bacteria; Pseudomonadati; Pseudomonadota; Betaproteobacteria; Rhodocyclales; Zoogloeaceae. The record is from RNAcentral.